Molecule: long non-coding RNA, 651 nt
Filed under: Homo sapiens (human)
Lineage: Eukaryota; Metazoa; Chordata; Mammalia; Primates; Hominidae
Description: HSALNT0194539
Source: RNAcentral
UGCAAGGAAAAAAAGCCAGUUGAUAUUUUGAUAGGUAUUGCAUUUAAUCUGUAAAUCAAUUUGAGGAUUAUUGCCUUCUUAAAAAUCAUAAAUCAACAUGAGAUCUUUCCAUUUAUUUAGGUUCUCUUUAGUUUCUUUCAACAAUAUCUUACAGUUAAUGGACUGUCUUUUGCAUCCUGGGGUAGAGGCUACCUGCUUUGAUCAUCUCUGGUUCAGGGAUUUAGGCACAUUCAUGAGGCUAAUUCUAUUACUUGCUGUACAAUAUUUUCUUUAGCCACCCUUUACUUGACAGCAACUAAGAUGGCUCUCAGUGUGACUCUUGGCAGGUAGGAGGAUGAGCUGGACCUUCUGCUGAGUGUGCUAUAUUUCUUAUCCAUCACUACUGAUGAUGAUGAUGAUUAGAUGAGUACUAUGCUAAGUGUUUGUUUUUGUUUUUUUAAUCCAUGAUCUCAUUUUAUCUUCAAAACAUCCCAGUGAGGUAGGAAUGAUUACCUCUGUUUUGCAGAUGGAAAAAUUGAGCUUCAGGGAAGCACACAUCUAAAAAAGGAGCAGAGCAUGUAGUUGAACCAGGUAUCUUGACAUCCAACUCUGGCCACUUCCAGGCCACCCCAGUAUGCCAUCUCCCAGGAUGUUCUAUAGACCAAGCCAGAG